This 496-nucleotide ribosomal RNA is filed under the name uncultured bacterium. RNAcentral's name for it is "partial 16S ribosomal RNA". It matches the Rfam family "Bacterial small subunit ribosomal RNA", at positions 28 to 507 of the family's 1533-position model. The record is from RNAcentral.
GAUGAACGCUGGCGGCGUGCCUAAUACAUCAAGUCGAGCGAACGGACGAGAAGCUUGCUUCUCUGAUGUUAGCGGCGGACGGGUGAGUAACACGUGGAUAACCUACCUAUAAGACUGGGAUAACUUCGGGAAACCGUAGCUAAUACCGGAUAAUAUUUUGAACCGCAUGGUUCAAAAGUGAAAGACGGUCUUGCUGUCACUUAUAGAUGGAUCCGCGCUGCAUUAGCUAGUUGGUAAGGUAACGGCUUACCAAGGCAACGAUGCAUAGCCGACCUGAGAGGGUGAUCGGCCACACUGGAACUGAGACACGGUCCAGACUCCUACGGGAGGCAGCAGUAGGGAAUCUUCCGCAAUGGGCGAAAGCCUGACGGAGCAACGCCGCGUGAGUGAUGAAGGUCUUCGGAUCGUAAAACUCUGUUAUUAGGGAAGAACAUAUGUGUAAGUAACUGUGCACAUCUUGACGGUACCUAAUCAGAAAGCCACGGCUAACUACGUG